AUGACCAGAAAAUCCAUGGAGAAUAUUUUUGGAAUAAAUAAAAAAUAUUGGCGAAAGAAUCAACAGAGGGGUACCCACCGGCUGUCCACAAAGGUGGAGGGCACCCCCCAGGGCACGCCCCCUGCCUUGUGGGUCCGCUGGACCUCCACCGACCUCAAAUCCAACUCCAUAUAUUCACGUUCGGAGAGAAAAAAAAUCAGAGAGAAGGAUUCAUCACGUUUUACGAUACGGAGCCGCCGCCACCUCCUGUUCUUCCUCGGGAGGGAAGAUCUGGAGUCCGUUUUGCGCUCCGGAGAGGGGAAAUCAUCAUCAUCAUCAACCAUCCUCCAUCACCAAUUUCAUGAUGCUCAAUGCCGUGCGUGA
This 363-nucleotide ribosomal RNA is filed under the name Triticum aestivum (bread wheat). RNAcentral's name for it is "partial small subunit ribosomal RNA". The record is from RNAcentral. Lineage: Eukaryota; Viridiplantae; Streptophyta; Magnoliopsida; Poales; Poaceae.